This 576-nucleotide ribosomal RNA is filed under the name uncultured bacterium. Its description in RNAcentral is "partial 16S ribosomal RNA". It matches the Rfam family "Bacterial small subunit ribosomal RNA", at positions 355 to 923 of the family's 1533-position model. The record is from RNAcentral.
UGGGGAAUUUUGGACAAUGGGCGAAAGCCUGAUCCAGCAAUGCCGCGUGUGUGAAGAAGGCCUUCGGGUUGUAAAGCACUUUUGUCCGGAAAGAAAUCCUUGGCUCUAAUACAGUCGGGGGAUGACGGUACCGGAAGAAUAAGCACCGGCUAACUACGUGCCAGCAGCCGCGGUAAUACGUAGGGUGCAAGCGUUAAUCGGAAUUACUGGGCGUAAAGCGUGCGCAGGCGGUUUGCUAAGACCGAUGUGAAAUCCCCGGGCUCAACCUGGGAACUGCAUUGGUGACUGGCAGGCUAGAGUAUGGCAGAGGGGGGUAGAAUUCCACGUNUAGCAGUGAAAUGCGUAGAGAUGUGGAGGAAUACCGAUGGCGAAGGCAGCCCCCUGGGCCAAAUACUGACGCUCAUGCACGAAAGCGUGGGGAGCAAACAGGAUUAGAUACCCUGGUAGUCCACGCCCUAAAACGAUGUCAACUAGUUGUUGGGGAUUCAUUUCCUUAGUAACGUAGCUAACGCGUGAAGUUGACCGCCUGGGGAGUACGUCGCAAGAUUAAAACUUAAAGGAAUUGACGGGGUCCUA